CCUACGGGAGGCAGCAGUAGGGAAUCUUCCACAAUGGACGAAAGUCUGAUGGAGCAACGCCGCGUGCGUGAAGAAGGGUUUCGGCUCGUAAAGCUCUGUUGGUAGUGAAGUAAGAUAGAGGUAGUAACUGGCCUUUAUUUGACGGUAAUUACUUAGAAAGUCACGGCUAACUACGUGCCAGCAGCCGCGGUAAUACGUAGGUGGCAAGCGUUGUCCGGAUUUAUUUGGCGUAAAGCGAGUGCAGGCGGUUCAAUAAGUCUGAUGUGAAAGCCCUCGGCUCAACCGGAGAAUUGCAUCAGAAACUGUUGAACUAGAGUGCAGAAGAGGAGAGUGGAAUGCCAUGUGUAGCGGUGGAAUGCGUAGAUAUAUGGAAGAACACCAGUGGCGAAGGCGGCUAUCUGGUCUGCAACUGACGCUGAGGCUCGAAAGCAUGGGUAGCGAACAGGAUUAGAUACCCUAGUAGUC
RNAcentral lists this ribosomal RNA (465 nucleotides) under uncultured bacterium. Its description in RNAcentral is "partial 16S ribosomal RNA". It matches the Rfam family "Bacterial small subunit ribosomal RNA", at positions 338 to 795 of the family's 1533-position model. The record is from RNAcentral.